GGGGCCGUAGCCCAACGGCAGGAGGCACCAGGUUUAGGUCCUGUUCAGUGCGGGUUCGAAUCCCGCCGGCCCCA
RNAcentral lists this transfer RNA (74 nucleotides) under Streptomonospora nanhaiensis. It matches the Rfam family "tRNA". Rfam says of the family: Transfer RNA (tRNA) molecules are approximately 80 nucleotides in length. Their secondary structure includes four short double-helical elements and three loops (D, anti-codon, and T loops). The record is from Rfam by way of RNAcentral. Lineage: Bacteria; Bacillati; Actinomycetota; Actinomycetes; Streptosporangiales; Nocardiopsidaceae. RNAcentral also lists the same sequence under 1 other name.